AGGUAACUUAUUUUAAUAAUCUAGGAGGAAAAAUUUCUGGAUUCCAGAAGACAGUAACACCUCGGCGCUCUGCCUGCGCGCCCCAGAGUGCCAUUGUCACCGCAGCGGUUGCUGGACGCACCUCUCCCAAGGGGCCUGUGAGCUGGACCCCAGCGAGGUGGCAGGAUCUGCCUGGUCCCUGCUUGCCGGGUGAACGCACGCGAGUUAACUCCACAUGUCCGUCCCGAGCAGCUUCCUGUACUGCCCUCUCGUGGCCACGGUGCUCAGUGGUAGAAGGAGAAAACCCAGACAGGUGCCUCGCGAAACCAGAGGAGCAGUUGAAGGAAAUUCUCAGAGCAGCCAGGCAAAGAUUGCUCCUGAUUGUAUCCUGAGCAAUCACAAGGGGUGUACCUGGUAUCCGUUCCUGGCUUUGAACGUCCUUGGCAGUUACUGGGAACACACCAGGUAAUGAUGAUGGUGUUUCCCCUUCGUUAUUAGUAAGCACAUCUGCUGCACUGAGCCUCCUGUCAUUCAGUGGACUGACUCUCACCCCAGUCACAGCUUUCGGUCCUGUGGU
Ochotona curzoniae (black-lipped pika) is the source of this 556-nucleotide long non-coding RNA. RefSeq lists it as uncharacterized. NCBI's taxonomy places the organism in Eukaryota, Metazoa, Chordata, Mammalia, Lagomorpha, Ochotonidae. The transcript is spliced from 2 exons. The record is from RefSeq and is a predicted model, not a curated record.